AAAACAGUGUCGGGAGUCAUUUUGCUUUUGCAUAUGCACAUGCAGGCCCUGGCACUUAAAUGACUUAAUUGCUGCAAAAGAAAAGUUGAGAGCUGCUAGCUCGUUUGCUUUGUACCAAUGCGACUGUGUGUGUGGAGAGAUAGGACACUCCCCGUGCGAGAUCAUCUGGAACUGGUUUUUGCCUCCUGUUCCCAUCUGCAGCUUCAUGUAGUCACUAUCCAUCCAUAUUUGUGGGGCAAACAGAACAGAAGCACACUUUUACUGGAGAUUUUUAUUUUAUUUUUUUCCUGUUUCGUUUUAAAUGUUGUAAUUUCUGUGCCUUUAUUUCUUAUUUUCUUUCUUUUUAAUGUGAGUCAGUGUUUCUUAUAAAGAUAUUUCUUCUAUGACCAGUUUGAGAUUUUCUGUGCUCUACAGACAAACUCAAACGCUGUUUCACACCUGUGGUUUCCAUUGUCUGAGUGUAGUUGUUGAAGUAAUAUAAGCCUUUCUCUGAAUGGGCGUUUCUUUGAGACUGGAUUCAGCAGCUGGGUCUCUCACAAUGUAAAGCUCCCUCUAGUGGAUCAUUGCGCUCACCCGCAGGUCAUACACGUGUACUGUUUUCUCCAGUCGUGAAGCAGAAAGCAGCAGACUUGGCAAACUAGUAGCCUAGUCACCACAGAAAGGGAGUGCUGUGCAUUAUGGGAGCUCUCAGCGGUGCGUGGGCCAGACUCUGACCAAUCAGGUCACUUGGCUAAAGCUUCAACAGUGUUUUAACUGGAUGUUCUGUUGACCUCAGUCAUAUAAACCCAUCCAACAGCAGACCAGCCUCAUGUAAUUCUAUGUUGCAGUAAUCACACACACACAGAAGUCUACUUUCAGUAUUGUGGUUUUUCCGCAAACGGUCGAGUUUUAACUCUUAACUCUGUGUUCCGAGCUUUAUUAUGCAUCCAGACCAAACGAGGCGAAGGGGCGGUCACACUUGGUGUUAUGUCGGAUUUCCUUUUCCGUGAUCAAAUAGAUUUUACUCUUCCCUCUGCAAGUUUUAUGCAUUUCAAAAGAGCGCUUAACAUCGAUGUUCCCAAUCCAAUCUGUGCUCUAAAUCGAGAUUUAAUUGCAACAGUACAGCAUUGCACAUGUUAUCAAAAGAGUGUAUGAUAAAACCCAGGUUGAACACCAUGAAUUAAACAUUCAGAUGGAAAUCUCCCAUGGUAAAUGAGCUUAUUUCUCAUUUGACAAGUGAGAAUAACCUUGUACAAUCCACCACACUGCCUAUGUUAAGAUGUCACAUA
Long non-coding RNA from Acanthopagrus latus (yellowfin seabream), 1268 nucleotides. RefSeq lists it as uncharacterized. NCBI's taxonomy places the organism in Eukaryota, Metazoa, Chordata, Actinopteri, Spariformes, Sparidae. The transcript has 2 exons. The record is from RefSeq and is a predicted model, not a curated record.